RNAcentral lists this ribosomal RNA (27 nucleotides) under Sphagnum angustifolium. RNAcentral describes it as "partial 25S ribosomal RNA". Lineage: Eukaryota; Viridiplantae; Streptophyta; Sphagnopsida; Sphagnales; Sphagnaceae. The record is from RNAcentral.
CUGACCUCAGAUCAGGCAAGAGCACCC